UAAGAGAGAAAAUGGCAAACUUUUAAUUUUAUCCGUCAUCGUAGCUAAACUGGUAUAGAACCAACCAUUGUUCAAAAUAGUACUAACCAAAAAACACCACAAAAUGGGCUUCUUUAAAAAAGCCCAACAUAAAAAGUCUUAACAGAUCAAAAAAAAGCAAGUAAAAGAGAUAGAGAUAGGAGAAAGAGAGAGGUCAAUGUCCAACAAAUUAGUCGACCUCCUCGAUCUUAGGUCCAGCACCGCCUGAAGCAGGGGGAGCAUCAUCGUCCAUACCAGAGGCACCUGGACCACCGGCUUCACCACCAGCUCCUUGGUACAUCUUGGCAAUGAUUGGGUUGCAGAUGCUCUCCAAUUCCUUCAUCUUGUCUUCGAACUCAUCAGCCUCAGCCAACUGGUUACCCUCGAGCCAUUGAAUCGCCUGCUCAAUAGAAUCCUCGAUCUUCUUCUUGUCUGCAGCCGGGAGCUUCUCACCAAUCUUCUCGUCUUGGAUGGUGUUCCUCAUGUUGUAAGCGUAGUUCUCGAGAGCGUUCUUGGCUUCAACCUUCUUCUUGUGCUCCUCGUCUUCGGACUUGUACUUCUCAGCCUCUUGAACCAUCUUCUCAAUCUCAUCCUUGGAGAGACGACCCUUGUCAUUGGUGAUGGUGAUCUUGUUCUUCUGUCCGGUGGUCUUGUCCUCAGCAGAGACAUUGAGGAUACCAUUGGCAUCAAUGUCAAAGCAGACUGUGAUCUGGGGGACAC
Molecule: small RNA, 738 nt
Filed under: Arabidopsis thaliana (thale cress)
Lineage: Eukaryota; Viridiplantae; Streptophyta; Magnoliopsida; Brassicales; Brassicaceae
Description: ATSL240710
Source: RNAcentral